This 798-nucleotide ribosomal RNA is filed under the name Triticum aestivum (bread wheat). Its description in RNAcentral is "partial small subunit ribosomal RNA". Lineage: Eukaryota; Viridiplantae; Streptophyta; Magnoliopsida; Poales; Poaceae. The record is from RNAcentral.
AUGAACGGCGACAAGCACUACCUGCCGUUCCCCACACAGGCCCAUCUGGAGGGCGUUGAGUACAAUGGCGCGGUCCUCUGCGCGGCUGGCCACGCCGACCACGGCGACUGUCAUUCGUGCCCGUUUCUCGUGGCGUUCGUGUUCAAUCAGCAGAGUGAUUUCAAUACCUCCGCGUGCGUCUACUCGUCCGAGACAAGCGUUUGGGGUGAGAUCCACUCGAUCGAAAUUCCAGAUGUAUCAGUUACAUGGGCUCCGACGCCACUGAUUGGAAAUACACUCUACUGGAUUUUGGAUACCUCUGGCGGCGCUAUCGAAAAUGAGUGUUGGAUCGUUGAGUUUGAUUUGGAUGCACACAAUUUGGAUUUAACUGGGGAGAUUCCAUACUACGUGCUCGAUAAGUACAAUAGGCAAAUUGUUCUCAUGCCAGCAGAUGAUGGACGGCUUGGUUUCGCCGGAGUUGACACAUUCAGUCUCCAUUUGUGGUCAAGUAUAGCUUGCGUUGACGGGAUGGUAACAUGGGCACAUUGCAGAGUCAUUGAUCUGGAGAAUUUUCUUGCACCGGAAGCAGUGGCGGCGUGUCGGUAUGUACCAGAUGCAGUUGGCUAUGCUGAAGAUGCCAAUGUGAUCUUCAUUCGUGUGGAUCCAAACAUCUAUAUGAUCCAUCUCAACACCAUGCAGAUUGAGGAGGUCUCAGAGAAAGGGGCCUAUUGGUUUGUUUUUCCUUGCACAAGUUUCUACACUCCAGGAAUCACCACUGGUGGUGGAGAUGAUCAAGCUGAGCCAUUAAACGACUGUUGA